GUGGACUUCCCAUGGGCUUUCAUCCACCAGCGUCAUGUCCCUUAAACCAUGUUGUGCAGCAGAGGUGUUAUCCUCAUGCUGAUUUCUUAAUGUAUCUUGGGUUUCCGUAAUCAUCAAUUUUUUAUUCUGUCUGGUGAUUAGCCAUACGAGAAACCUACUACCUGUAGGAUGGAGUUUUGUUGUCUAGGUUUUCCUUCCCAUAGAUGGUUGCCUGCCAUGGCUGACGAGUUCCAUCUUCCCGGCUUUUCUUUCUGGGUCUGCUCCCAUAGCCUUUUGAUCUUCCCAGAUCUAACCACAAGGCAGCGGUACUAUUUACCCAUAGUUGGGACAAGGUUGAUGAGUGCGAGGGCGUGUCCACACGCCGGUGGGCCUACACACUGCAUCUCUAGGGCC
This 393-nucleotide long non-coding RNA is filed under the name Mytilus galloprovincialis (Mediterranean mussel). Lineage: Eukaryota; Metazoa; Mollusca; Bivalvia; Mytilida; Mytilidae. The record is from RNAcentral.